RNAcentral lists this ribosomal RNA (573 nucleotides) under Taphrina wiesneri. Its description in RNAcentral is "eukaryotic LSU rRNA". It matches the Rfam family "Eukaryotic large subunit ribosomal RNA", at positions 62 to 648 of the family's 3401-position model. Lineage: Eukaryota; Fungi; Ascomycota; Taphrinomycetes; Taphrinales; Taphrinaceae. RNAcentral also lists the same sequence under 3 other names. The record is from RNAcentral.
AAACUAACUAGGAUGCCUUCAGUAACGGCGAGCGAAGCAGGCAUAGCUCAAAUUUGUAAUCUGGCGCCUUUGGCGUCCGAGUUGUAUUUUCUAGAAGCGAGUUCGGCGACAGCUCCUACCCAAGUCCGUUGGAACGCGGCGUCAUGGAGGGUGAGAAUCCCGUGAAUGGUAGGAUGUCUGCUGCUAUGUGAACCGCCUUCGAAGAGUCGAGUUGUUUGGGAAUGCAGCUCUAAAUGGGAGGUAAAUUUCUUCUAAAGCUAAAUAUUGGCCAGAGACCGAUAGCGAACAAGUAGAGUGAUCGAAAGAUGAAAAGAACUUUGAAAAGAGAGUUAAACAGUACGUGAAAUUGUUGAAAGGGAAGCGCUUGAGAUCAGACUUCCUGUCUGGACUGUCCUUGCUUUUGCUUGGGUCAACAGUCCAGGCGUGGAGGCCAGCAUCAGUUUUGACGGCCGGAUAAAGGCCUUGGGAAGGUAGCUCCCCUCGGGGAGUGUUAUAGCCCAGGGUGUAAUACGGCCAGUUGGGACUGAGGACCGCGGCUCUGCCUAGGAUGCUGGCGUAAUGGUCUUAAGCGAC